Oncorhynchus tshawytscha (Chinook salmon) is the source of this 1978-nucleotide long non-coding RNA. RefSeq lists it as uncharacterized. The record is from RefSeq and is a predicted model, not a curated record. Lineage: Eukaryota; Metazoa; Chordata; Actinopteri; Salmoniformes; Salmonidae. The transcript is spliced from 6 exons.
AUUACAACCUACCAUGAUAUAAAAAUGAAGCCCAUUCAAUUUUAUUAAGCGAAAAAGAGACGAGGAGAAAGAGGAAUCCGGCGAGGGGGAUCCGCAAGGAUCAACUAAAACAUUUUCACAAGGUUUACCUGAGGUGCCUAAUGUUAGGGAUGCUGAAAACAACUUUAGCGAAGCUGCUGAGAACAAUGUUAGCGAAGCUACCGUGACCCCCGCUGUCACUUCAACCUCCACUGUAGCCGGCGUAGGAAGAACAUAUAGAUUCAAUGCGAAUUGGCUCAAAAUGUUCCCAUGGCUAGAGUUAGAAAACAACGUCAUGUUCUGGAAAUAUUGUAGAGGCCAGAAAGACUCAUCAUUCGUGUCAAGUAACCCGCAUCUGAAAAGAGAACAUCUCGCGGCGGCAUAUCCAUUGCAGAGAUCUGUACCUGUUGAGACAGUGUCAGCAGCAUUGAGGAGGCAAGUGCUGCUGUCUGAGGAGAAGAGGAGGCAGCUGAAAUUGAAGAUAAACAUUGCAUAUUCAUUGUGAAGGAAGAAACUUUAGUCAAAUUUGGGCCGCUUAUCAGAUUUCACCACAAAAACGGAGUUGACAAUGAGGUAAAAUGUGCGAAGAUGAUCGGUCAAAUUGUUGACAUAAUGACAUGCUGACCAAACCCGACACGUCGCGUACGCGAGCGUCGCAAAUUCAAUUUAGAAAUCCAUGUUAUUCAAUUAUUGCGCGCCAACGAGCGUCUGCGACACCAAGGGCUAAAAUAGAACUCAUUCCUAUUUCUGACGCAGAUCGCGCUGAAAGACCUGCCUCGCCCAUCUCCUCGUUGGUUUAUAGAAGCAGGUACCCACGUGCCAACUCCUCAUUGGUUAUACCCACGUGGGUGACUGAAAGACAAACUGUUUUGCCGGUAAUACAAUUAAAGUUUAGAUGAGAUCACCAUAUAAGUUAAACGAUGAAAAAGCCUGGAAGGAGGAGAGAUGACUAGAAACGAUUCGUUUGGCCGUUGAAUGUGUGAAUUAAUUGUCGGAGUAGAGGUCCUUGUGCAUAUCAGGUGUUUUGGAUGUCACCAAGGCUGCAGUUUGUCCAGAGGAGGAUGGAGGGUCAUGGAUGAAGAAGUGCAUCUCCUUCGGGGCAGAUGGUGCCUCCGUGAACAUGGACCACCGUGGGGGGGUGAUUGCCCACCUGCAGAGAGAGGCAGUGGGGCAUAUAAUCCCAAUCCACUGUAUAGAGCCCUCAGUGUUCCUGCAGCAUGGACAAGACAAGGACCUUGCCGACGAAGGCCAGUACUUCGUUGUUCUGCAGGACCUGGCAGUAGUAUGAACAACAGCGGAAGUUCAAGGGCGGGCAAAGAAGUUCAGUUUUACACAAGAAAUAUAAAGCGGGAAAUGGAGAAUGCACUCGUGUAUUCUGCCAUUUUCUCUCAGACAUGUUUGAGGAGCUAUCCUCACUUAGCCUCACCCUGCAAAGGAAUGACCUGAUCCUCCCCCAAGCCACAUCAUGAGAGAGGGAAUAACACUGAAGGGGAAUCUGAAAGGCUUCAUGGACCUCACCAAUCCCCAUCUGAAGCAGCACAUGGAGCCGACUAUAACAUCGGCGUGGAUGAUCUCAAAGCCAGUAUUGGUGGUUUGCUGAAGGAUGAGCGUGUCCAGACCCCAGUGGAGUCUAUCAAAGUGCUAAACCCUGACACAUGGCCAGAAGACCAGGCCAGCCUUCUCACAUUUGGCGAUGAUGGUGUGGCAGACCUGAUGAGGCAUUUCAAGGAGCCCUAGAUAGAUCGGAGUGCAACAUGGCUGCAAUCCAGGAUGAGUGGCAGGGGCUGAAAAUCCUGGUCAGCCACAAUUUCAAGUACAAGUCCUGUGGGAGAUCAUGUUGACAAAGGACCCCUACAGGCACAAUUACAAGGUAGGCUAACAGUCCUGAGUGGUUAUGAAUGGUAUACAAUAUCUCUCUCAUCAUCACUCAAGACCUAGGUUUACCUCCACUGUAUUCACA